RNAcentral lists this ribosomal RNA (443 nucleotides) under uncultured bacterium. RNAcentral describes it as "partial 16S ribosomal RNA". It matches the Rfam family "Bacterial small subunit ribosomal RNA", at positions 338 to 795 of the family's 1533-position model. The record is from RNAcentral.
CCUACGGUGCGCAGCAGUGAGGAAUAUUGGUCAAUGGGCUAAGGCCUGAACCAGCAACGCCGCGUGCAGGAAGAAGGCUUUCGGGUUGUAAACUUCUUUUCUCAGGGACGAAGCAAGUGACGGUACCUGAGGACUAAGCCACGGCUAACUACGUGCCAGCAGCCGCGGUAAUACGUAGGUGGCAAGCGUUAUCCGGAUUUACUGGGUGUAAAGGGCGUGUAGGCGGGACUGCAAGUCAGAAGUGAAAACCAUGGGCUCAACCUAUGGCCUGCAUUUGAAACUGUAGUGCUUGAGUACUGGAGAGGCAGACGGAAUUCCGAGUGUAGCGGUGAAAUGCGUAGAUAUUAGGAGGAACACCAGUGGCGAAGGCGGUCUGCUGGACAGCAACUGACGCUGAGGCGCGAAAGCGUGGGGAGCAAACAGGAUUAGAUACCCUUGUAGUC